GUGCCAGCCGCCGCGGUAAUACGGAGGGUGCAAGCGUUGUUCGGAAUUACUGGGCGUAAAGCGCGCGUAGGCGGUUUUAUAAGUCAGAUGUGAAAGUCCACGGCUCAACCGUGGAAGUGCGUUUGAAACUGUAUUACUUGAGUACUGGAGGGGGUGGUGGAAUUCCCGGUGUAGAGGUGAGAUUCGUAGAUAUCGGGAGGAAUACCGGUGGCGAAGGCGACCACCUGGCCAGAUACUGACGCUGAGGUGCGAAAGCGGGGGGAGCAAACAGGAUUAGAUACCGGUGUAGUCC
RNAcentral lists this ribosomal RNA (292 nucleotides) under uncultured bacterium. Its description in RNAcentral is "partial 16S ribosomal RNA". It matches the Rfam family "Bacterial small subunit ribosomal RNA", at positions 505 to 796 of the family's 1533-position model. The record is from RNAcentral.